RNAcentral lists this long non-coding RNA (385 nucleotides) under Elaeis guineensis (African oil palm). RNAcentral's name for it is "long non-coding RNA (EGUI_LNC050682)". Lineage: Eukaryota; Viridiplantae; Streptophyta; Magnoliopsida; Arecales; Arecaceae. The record is from RNAcentral.
CAUCCAGACUUCCACAGGAUCUCCAGACUCCUCCAGCGGAUGAAUCUCCCCAAUGCCAUCCAAAGUCCACCAUCGGCCGACCCUCUGCCAGAUUCUUCAUGAAACCGGAUUUCUCCAAUAGAAAGUCUCCGUCCAAGCUUCUAUAGUAGAUGGUUCCCACCUGCAGCAUCAGCGCUCUAGGCACCCAACAAUGGUAGACCCGUCACAACCUCAGAAACAUCCGAGCUUCUCCUAGAUCGACGAGAUAGAGAACCAUUCCACUCCAUCAGACAUCCCAGCCAAGCUUCAGCCGACAGAUCCGAACUUUCUGGCAAGUCACGAUAAUGGCUGCUACCCUACUCCACUCUCUACAACGGAUUCCACGUGGCUCCACCACUCUUUGGCA